GCCCUGGAUUCAGGCCACAGCUCUCAGCCACGCACAUGACCGCCUCUUGGCAGCUGAGUAGCAACAGAGACACCACCGAGAAGCAUUCUGUCCCCUGGCAGCACAAACUAGAGGCCCUGCAGGACGCUGAGAUAAAAAGGCCUCUCAGCACUGCUUCCUUUGCUCUCCAGGCAAAGGUAGUGCAACUUCCCCGUGCGAGUUGAUUUUUAAGAUCCUAGGUCGGUCCCCCAACACUUCACUGAAUGAUCGACUUGUCAGCUAAUUUGAUUGUUUUCCCUCUUGACAUUUGCAAGACAUAGAUUUUUCUGUGUUCUUUCUCUCCUCUGCCUACUUUGCCCCCUUGGAGGCUGUCUGGGAAGGUAUAUUUCCCUCCACACUGUUAGGAAAGACAGGGGGUGGGGAGGUGAUACUCCCAGCAGUCAUUUGUACCUAAAAAUAAGUAAAUCAAGCUAAUAUGCUAGAGAUUCAGAGAGAGCAUCGGAAGGUUACUCACCUGUGCAGGGAAAUUGGUUGAGGCAUUUCCAUUUUCCUCUCAACAGGGUAUAUAUAAAUUUUUCUUCUUCCUCGUGCUCGCAAACCCAAAAGACAUCCUCGGCCAGAGUUGAUUAGAGGUUUAUAAGAAGAACCCCACCCAAAAAUGUUUGGAAUGCACCGACUUCUAAUGACUCUGUUCAGCCCCUCUCAACCCUAAGCAGAAUUCCCGAAGCUAACACAAAUGAUCAGAUAAGGAAACCUGGCCUUUGAAGCAGUCAAGCCGGUUCUCAUUCUCACCAUAAUUCCUGGAGGUCACAGAUUGGAGGAUCUAAACAAGGUGGGACCAAUGAGAUUAGAUGACCAUUUCCUUGCUUCCUACGUUUUGAAAUUCCGGGCCACUUGCUGGAGAAGGCCUUUAAGACAGGAGAUCAGACGACAGAUCUACCGGAUCAUGAUAAAGGAAGGUAGCUCUUUGACAUGCUGUGGAGAAGAUGCGGGGAGAGAGAAAAUCGAGAUUUUCAGCCCCACCUCUAAUAAACGAACUGUGUGCGAGUAACUUGGAUGUUUAAUGCCUUGGUUAUGGUGAACUUAAAACAGCCAUAAAGAACAUCUGGGACGUCAUAGGAUUAUUGGAAGAAAGGAAUAUGCUGUGUGACUGUCACCUGGUCAAUAAUAGAAAAUACAUGCCAAACACAUGUGCUCUCUUCUACUUUGGUGACACAUUUCCACAUUGUAGAAGUCUCGUUUCUAUUUUGAUCCCAGUCUGUAUCUUUAAUUUUUUUUUUACCUAUAACAAUUUCAACUCAUAAAUCUUUGUAAAAGUUUAUGUCAGAUUUCCCUCAUGCUUAAACUCAGUGUUUGGCAAAUCUUAGCUCUUGUGCCAAAUCUAGCCUAUGGGUUGCUUUUGUUAAUAAAGUUUAAUAAGAACAGAGACCUCACUUGUUUAUAUAUUAUGUGGAGUUAUUUUGCACCAUUGUGCAGUUGACUGAUCCCAGCAAGUUACUGUACCUCUACAAGGUCUUUCCCAGAACACCAAUAACUUACAGUUUAUAUCCUCCCUUCGUGAGACUUUCAGCCUGAGCUCUGGUAGGAAGUGUGGAUGGAGCUGUCAUCCCCUAUCUGGGUUGAAAACAAAACAAAACAAAACAAAACAAAACAAAACAAAACACUGUGCAUCCUGGCCUGAUUAUUUUCAUUAUGAGAGGCCAAGAAAUCAACAUUUUUUGAUCAUAUCAAUAUCUCCAGCCUUUAUAAAAUCAAGAAUAAACACUAUUUGGAUCAAAAGAGAACUCAUGAAACAGAGAUCUCCAGAUAUUUUUCUAAACAUUUAUUUAAAAAAAAAACAGUUUGAAAAUAGUAAAUAAAAGGCUAAAUAUAAUAGUUAAAAAAAAGAAUGCAAAUAUACUAUGCUG
RNAcentral lists this long non-coding RNA (1886 nucleotides) under Rattus norvegicus (Norway rat). RNAcentral describes it as "long non-coding RNA NONRATT032917". The record is from RNAcentral. Lineage: Eukaryota; Metazoa; Chordata; Mammalia; Rodentia; Muridae.